GUCGAUAGGCCAGAGAUGUAAGUGCAGCAAUGCAUUCAGUUGACUGGUACUAAUUGCCCGAUAGGCUUGAUUUG
This 74-nucleotide ribosomal RNA is filed under the name Paracoccaceae bacterium. RNAcentral's name for it is "Rhodobacteraceae bacterium (subsurface metagenome) partial 23S ribosomal RNA". It matches the Rfam family "Bacterial large subunit ribosomal RNA", at positions 2852 to 2925 of the family's 2925-position model. The record is from RNAcentral. Lineage: Bacteria; Pseudomonadati; Pseudomonadota; Alphaproteobacteria; Rhodobacterales; Paracoccaceae.